This 429-nucleotide ribosomal RNA is filed under the name uncultured bacterium. RNAcentral's name for it is "bacterial SSU rRNA". It matches the Rfam family "Bacterial small subunit ribosomal RNA", at positions 355 to 776 of the family's 1533-position model. RNAcentral also lists the same sequence under 1 other name. The record is from RNAcentral.
UCGAGAAUAAUUCACAAUGGGGGCAACCCUGAUGGUGCAACGCCGCGUGGAGGAUGACGGUCUUCGGAUUGUAAACUCCUGUCAUCUGGGAGUAAGGCAUGGUUGUUAAUAGCAAACAUGAUUGAUAGUACCAGAAGAGGAAGGGACGGCUAACUUCGUGCCAGCAGCCGCGGUAAUACGAAGGUCCCAAGCGUUGUUCGGAAUCACUGGGCGUAAAGGGAGCGUAGGCGGCGUGGUAAGUCAGAUGUGAAAUCCCGGGGCUCAACCCCGGAACUGCAUCCGAUACUGCCAUGCUAGAGGAUUGGAGAGGUAGCUGGAAUUCUUGGUGUAGCAGUGAAAUGCGUAGAGAUCAAGAGGAACACUCGUGGCGAAAGCGAGCUACUGGACAAUUCCUGACGCUGAGGCUCGAAGGCUAGGGUAGCGAAAGGG